UACGUAGGGUGCGAGCGUUGUCCGGAAUUAUUGGGCGUAAAGAGCUCGUAAGCGGCUUGUCGCGUCGGAUGUGAAAGCCCGGGGCUUAACUCCGGGUCUGCAUUCGAUACGGGCAGGCUAGAGUUCGGUAGGGGAGAUCGGAAUUCCUGGUGUAGCGGUGAAAUGCGCAGAUAUCAGGAAGAACACCCGUGGCGAAAGCGGCUCUCUGGAACGGUACUGACGCUGAGACGCGAAAGCGUGGGGAGCGAACAGG
RNAcentral lists this ribosomal RNA (253 nucleotides) under uncultured bacterium. RNAcentral's name for it is "partial 16S ribosomal RNA". It matches the Rfam family "Bacterial small subunit ribosomal RNA", at positions 524 to 776 of the family's 1533-position model. The record is from RNAcentral.